Long non-coding RNA from Cairina moschata (Muscovy duck), 2353 nucleotides. The record is from Ensembl. NCBI's taxonomy places the organism in Eukaryota, Metazoa, Chordata, Aves, Anseriformes, Anatidae.
GAAUUAAAAUACACCAUCAUUAGAACCUGCAGAGGCAGAUGAAAUGCUUUCAUUGAAACAAGAAAAUCCCCACUAGUACUAUGGUGAGAAGUGAAACUUACUUGCCAUGCUACUCACCAGAGGAGCAAUCAUAUGGUUUCCUGGUAAGUUUCUCCACCUUGAUGUCUCUGUGAUUAACUCUAAGGAAAGAAUGAGAACUAUUAUGAAAUUCAGAAUUACUAAGCAAGAAUGACAACUGAUAUUCAUGGGGAACUGCUCCCUUCUUCAGACACUGUUCUUUUCUAACCCACACACACCUUGUACUUCACAGGAAGCUGUCUGUAUAAGUUGUUUGUAUAUAUAAACUGAGCUCCCCCUAACCUACAACAGCUGAGAAGCAGUUCUUAAUAGUUCUCUAAGUUACUGUUUACAAAACAACAGAAUGCCUUUCUUCACAUUUUAUGGUUAUUCCAAGGACAGAAACUACAGAUGGAUAAAAAAAAAAAAAAAAAAAGGCAUCUGCUGGAGGUUUCUUCAUACGUAAACCUUGACAACAAGCACAUUUGAAACACUUGCUGUGUUAUUGCUGGAAAGGAAAGAGUGGUUUAGUCCUCUAUAUUUAAAAACGUUUCAAAUCUGAACAGAAUAAAGAGUGUUUGCAACCAUGGCAACUUCUACAUUCAUUUUUAUAAAAACUGUAAUAUCUCUGAAAAUUUGUGACAUGGUGCAGCAAGCAUGUCACAUUGUGUAGGCUUAUGUUAUGUCUUGAAAGCCUGAAUGACUUGAUGUGACCUGGCACAAUGCCAUGGAUAUUUAAAAGAUUUCUAGGGAAAUUGCUGCUCUAGUGGAAGGUAGAGGUGAAAAAGUUUUUACAUAGCAUUAGAAAAAAACAUGAAAAAAUGAAAUACUUAAGGAAAACUUUAAAAUGUAGGUAUCUGUGGAGUACUUUCACAUCCAGGAUGGUAAAAAUUACAGAACAUUGUGGCUGCACAGGAGAAAGACCUUUAUCCAACUUCUGGCAUCUCCACUCACUGGGACUACACAGCUAUUGUAGUAGAUGCUGGCAGAAGCCUGUACAUCCCUGAGUCUUGAAAGUCAGAUGAUGGCUGUAUGAAUCCCAUUCUGCUCUUAGGUCUGGAAGGGUACCCAUAGGCAAUACAAGAUGACUUCAGUUCAUACUGUCCCUGGUUCUUGCAUUGCUGCACUAGAUUUAAAUAAUAAAAAUAAUAAAUUACAACAGAAUCUAUAUAUAGACAAAGUUUCUAGUCAUCCCCUUGCAGCUCAGAAAAAAAAGUGUCCCCAGUGCAAGCAGAAAGAAGGAAGUAUGUUCCACCUAUGACUUGAAGAAGUAACACAGUGCUAUGGAAAAUAAAAUUUACAGUUGCAGCUUCAGUUCCUGUUUUCUCCUGCUGCAGAGGGAGUGCCUGCUGGAUUUAGGGAGACAAUUAGGAAUAUCAUAGUGAUUAGCGUAUCUUCUUUGCCAAAUCUCCACCAUGGCCUGAGUUCCAGGGCCUGGCUUAUGGGCCUGUUGAAUUUAAGAAAGCCAAACAUUUCCUUGCAAUGACUUCCUUCCAUGCUCAUGUAUCCCCAAGAGCAGGACUUCUUGUCAAGCACUUCAUGUGUUUGAAGUGCAGUACUCCUAAAAGCAGGUGGAUCUGGAUUUUAGAAAUAAUUAAAAUCUUGUGGUGACUGAAAAGGUUUCCUCCAUUGGCCUCAUGGGCACUUGCAAAGUUGAAGCUUUCCUGCAGAGCAGCUUCACUUUCUGUACAAGGGGUAGCAAAACUGGGAUGGCAGGCAGGAGAUGCUGAGAUCUUGUCCUGUACUCUGGCAUUGCACACUGGUUUUUGCUGUUGAUCUCCUUUUGACGUGACAUGAAGUCUUCAACACUCAGUGUCUAAAUGUUUACAGUAUCUGUGUCUGCUAGAUAUAUUGGAUUGCUUUUACUGUUAUUAAAAUUAGAAUAAUCAGUUCCAACAGGAAGCUGACCAGAUGUCCUCAUUUAAUCAGAACAGAUCCCCUUUUUUCACGUAAUAUCCAGCUGUCCUAAUACUUUUCAGAGUAGACCCAUUAAUCUCAGUUUUCGUUGCAGUGAAAUUCUUGAUAGCUGUCAAGAAAUGCUCACUAAUAAUUGUCUGAUCCCUUCAUACUGUUUAAUGCUCAGAACUUUUCUUAAUAAGCAAAGAAAAUCAUAUUCUAUUUGCAAGGAAAUGCUUCAGUCUCACCCCUAGUGUAAAAUAUUUUCAAGAGAAUUCAUUAUGAAAGUAUUUUUGGAUUAAUUUAAUUUGUACACUAUUUUCUCAGACUGUAGGAAGCAGUUGGAAUGUUGUCUGGCAGAAUGUGUAGGGGAGAGAAAAUACACAUUUCUACAUAUGGG